Molecule: ribosomal RNA, 230 nt
Filed under: uncultured Alicycliphilus sp.
Lineage: Bacteria; Pseudomonadati; Pseudomonadota; Betaproteobacteria; Burkholderiales; Comamonadaceae
Description: partial 16S ribosomal RNA
Rfam family: Bacterial small subunit ribosomal RNA
Source: RNAcentral
AGCUGAUCACUGGGUGUAAAGUGUGCGCAGGCGGUUUUGUAAGACAGAGGUGAAAUCCCCGGGCUCAACCUGGGAACUGCCUUUGUGACUGCAAGGCUGGAGUGCGGCAGAGGGGGAUGGAAUUCCGCGUGUAGCAGUGAAAUGCGUAGAUAUGCGGAGGAACACCGAUGGCGAAGGCAAUCCCCUGGGCCUGCACUGACGCUCAUGCACGAAAGCGUGGGGAGCAAACA